AUUCUGUAAAAACAGUGAGUGAGUGAGUUUGUUUUACGCUGUAGUGACAAAUAUUUGUGCGGCCUGAGUCAGUUGUAUUCCACUCCGUCAGGGCAAAACAAUAUCGACCAGAACAUACAUUAUAUUCACUUGCUCAUUUCAGUCAGCCAUUACGAAACGCAUAGUGCUUGGGACUCAUCCUGAUUUUAGAAUACCCAGGACGGUAGAGAUUUAAAGCGAUACGUGGGACAUGUGUGUUUGGAGGAUACGAUUGUGAAACAAUUCAUCAAACGUUAGUGGAAAGUCUUUGCAUGUGACGUCGCGGCAGCCUAGCAGCCUAGCACCGUGUGUGUCAACCAAUGACUGCACGACACCUUCUGCCCAUGGAACCAAGUUGCAUGUGGAUGGCAUCUUAUUGAAUGGCAGCCAUGACGAGCUUGACGUAAUUGGCGCAGAUGCAGUGGGACAGAUUCACGUUGACGUACACGUCUGUCCCACAGAUGAUCCGAUGACGGAUAUACUCUGACCUCUCAGGUAAUCAGUACAGUACUGUUAGGGAAUAAGCAUUGUCAUGAAAAGUGACGCGUGGUGCUCGCAGAUCCAGGACGACGUCACUAUAACGCACACCUGUUAAGUUUCACUAUGUAAACAAGAUCUGUCGACUUAUCUGCAACAUCCGGGGAAACGCUCAUACCGCCGUCGAUAUGCACGGAUCCGCCAACCCCUCCUCUGAUGGAGGACACGGGAUUCGUCACUAAACCAAACGCUACGUCACCGUUGGUGAAGCCACUGAAGGGCAGAAGGCCUCCGUGUUUGGACCAGGAUCACGGUAUACUUCUCAUGGUAUAACAAAGAGGAGAGCAGAUGUCUGAUGAAUCAAGGGAGAUAAUACAGUGUGUUAAGAACUGACCACGUACCUCGACAUCAGGAGACCCGAAGGAUGUGACAAAUCAUCGUUGCGCUAAAGACUAUAUGCUUUUAGGGUGGUGCUCAGAUAUUUUGUUUCCUUAACAUGUUUUGAUUUAAACAUAUUUUAUUCAGAUUGAAAUGGAUUGGGAACAAGUUAUCCAACUUAGGACUCCCUCUCCAUGGUAUUUACAAAGCUUGUACAGUAAAUCAUAUACAAGGAAAACAGAAAAGAAGAUGAGUGUAAAGAUAACAAGAAAUGUACAAGAGAGAGACUAGUAUAUGUACAUUAAAGUGUUACCCAAAUCUCUUUGUAUGACUUAAAAACAUUUGCACUGCUUUAAAGAUGUGUUUAUUUUCG
Molecule: long non-coding RNA, 1246 nt
Organism: Haliotis rufescens (red abalone)
Lineage: Eukaryota; Metazoa; Mollusca; Gastropoda; Lepetellida; Haliotidae
Exons: 3
Source: RefSeq, a predicted model, not a curated record